Long non-coding RNA from Lathyrus oleraceus (garden pea), 1096 nucleotides. RefSeq lists it as uncharacterized. The transcript is spliced from 2 exons. Lineage: Eukaryota; Viridiplantae; Streptophyta; Magnoliopsida; Fabales; Fabaceae. The record is from RefSeq and is a predicted model, not a curated record.
CACUAUCUCAUUCCCUGCUCCACUCCCAACAGACUCUCUCCACUACUAAUUCCACUCCCAACAAACUCUGAAAAAUCCCCAACUCAUAUCCUCUCUCACACGUCAAUAACAACCAUCCACUCACAUCUCCCUCUACAAAAAUCUGUCUUCACUCUCUCAUCAAAAACUCACACUCCCAAAAAUAGCUCACAUCCUCUCUCCAUCUAACAACACACAAAAUCAUUCACAAAUCCCUCAGAAAAAUCUCACGCUACAUUCUCACAAAACCAUCGCUUCCCAAACAUCACCUCCAUGCCCAUCAUCAUCGCUUCACAAACCCUCGCCGUAUCCCACCGUCCAAACCCUUCAUCCACCGUCGUACCACCAUAACCGCCGACGCUCCGAAACCCUCAAUAUCUCACUCAAACUUCUUCCAUCGCCAUCACAAAACCAUAGUUUCUCCGCCGACCACAAUCGUCCUUCGAGAUCCAUCACCGAUGAACAGAUCCGAUGCCGGAUCUGCAACUUCAAUCCACUCCUAACGCUGUUAAAGUUAUCACCACGACCUAAAUCGGAAAUAACAUACAUCAAUACUAAGGCAUACAUCGUCCUCCUUGCCGAGCAGAAGAUUAAAAUCCGGUGAAGGUGAUGGAGAUUUGUUUUUUUUACUCACGAAAAGCUGUUAUGAAUUGCACUUGAGGGCCACGAGUAGAAGAUCGGUUUUGAGAGGAAAUCCCAAACAGCGAAGGAAGAACAACACGCCUCCAAAAGACUCGAUUCAAGCAGCUGCAUAUUGCAUCAUGUCUCUGAUUUAGUGUUCGUUGAUUUUCGGUUUAUUAGGAAAAUGGCUGUGUUUGAGCUUACUGUAUGAGCUUGUUAAGUGCAAAAUUCUCUUUAUUAUUGCCUCAUUGGAAUGCCGACAUUGAUGUGUUUGAGUUUACGAAGCUUUUUACGUAAGAUUGAAAUAGCAGCAGCCUGAUUUGUUACUUUAUUAAGAUAGGGAUUGAAAUAUUAUUAUUUAUUAUUCACUUGUUAGAUUAGAGCUUAAGAAUUGUUGUGUGGGAAGUUUGGAAUGAUUAAAAGAGAAGCCCAUUUUUUUCAUUGUUAUGUCGACUAA